UACGUAGGGUGCGAGCGUUAAUCGGAAUUACUGGGCGUAAAGCGCGCGUAGGCGGUUUGGUAAGCUGGAUGUGAAAGCCCUGGGCUCAACCUGGGAACUGCAUCCAGAACUGCCAAGCUAGAGUAUGGUAGAGGACAGUGGAAUUUCCGGUGUAGCGGUGAAAUGCGUAGAGAUCGGAAGGAACACCAGUGGCGAAGGCGACUGUCUGGACCAAUACUGACGCUGAGGUGCGAAAGCGUGGGGAGCAAACAGG
Molecule: ribosomal RNA, 253 nt
Filed under: uncultured Alteromonadaceae bacterium
Lineage: Bacteria; Pseudomonadati; Pseudomonadota; Gammaproteobacteria; Alteromonadales; Alteromonadaceae
Description: partial 16S ribosomal RNA
Rfam family: Bacterial small subunit ribosomal RNA
Source: RNAcentral